UGCUCAAGGCAUUGAGGUCAAGGGUGCUCGCCUACAUUCCCUUCAAUACUCAAAGUCGUGUGACUGGUUAAUUCCUUUUAUACUUGCACCAUGACUGCCUUACACAGCUCCUUGCUCUCUCAGAGUUCCUAAUUGUGUUUCUCUUUGCUUCUUUAGAGAGGAGACAUUUGCCUUUGAAAUCAAGUCACUCAAACUUUCCCACAUCUUAAUUACUGCACCUGUUCUGUAAGCCCACUUCUGUCUUGAAGACUUUCUUCUCUGGAUCUCCAGACUUCCUGUUCUAAUUUUGAUGGAAACUCCGAGGACCUCUGGUAUUCCACUGAUUUCCACUGAUCCCAGUGCUUUGGAAACGUGCAUGGGAAUUACAAACACAUACUGCUGUGUCUGCUUUUUUACAUGGGUGAUCAGAAGCCAAACUCAGGUCCUUGUGUGACAAGAAUCUACCAACGAAGCCAUUGCCCAUCUCCCCGGUUUAUAUGUAUGUGUGUUGGUAUGUAUUUUCUUAAAUUAUUUAUUUAUCCGAUGUGCACUCAUUUGCCUGCAUGUAUAUCUGUGUGUAGGUGUCAAGAUCACUGGGAACUGAGAGUUACAAGCAGUUAUGAGCAGCCAUGUGAGUGAUGGGAAUGGAACCAGGGUCCACUGGAAGAGACCAGUCAGUGUUCUUAAAUGCUGGACCAUCUCUCCAGCCCCCAAACUCCUCUUCUUUGAGGCACAGUGUUGUGUACCCUAAGUUGGCCUUCAAUUCCCUAUGCAGGGAAUGUCUCUGGUCGUUCACUGUGUGGAUCACCUUCUGAUCAGUUACCUAAGCAGCAGAUUCUCUCCUCGCCUGCUGGUGUGAGCGCCACAGAGGAUCUUCUUUAAAUAGCCCUUCUCCUUGCCCAGAUUCUGACACACUGGAAAAUAAAGUGAAUGAGUAAUGA
This is a long non-coding RNA of Peromyscus leucopus (white-footed mouse), 920 nucleotides long. RefSeq lists it as uncharacterized. The transcript has 3 exons. The record is from RefSeq and is a predicted model, not a curated record. Lineage: Eukaryota; Metazoa; Chordata; Mammalia; Rodentia; Cricetidae.